Molecule: long non-coding RNA, 6769 nt
Filed under: Populus tremula
Lineage: Eukaryota; Viridiplantae; Streptophyta; Magnoliopsida; Malpighiales; Salicaceae
Description: long non-coding RNA (PTRE_LNC001439)
Source: RNAcentral
UACCAUAUUUGAGAAAGAAGAGUUUCCAAGCCAGCCUGGAAACGUUGUACCCCGUAACCAGUAAUGGCAAGCUGUUUCACAUUUUCAGAAGGCUCCAAUUUCUCAAGUACUUCUCUCUCGUGUGGUGUGUCAUCCGUAUUGCCAUCCCACGUCAACCCCAACUCCUCAAUCUUCUUCUUACCCUUCAAAUCGGCAUCCAAAGCAUCUUGAGCAUUUGCAACAUCUCUGAGAUUCCGAAUAGAAAGUUUUUUCCUUAUAUGUGAGAGCUUCCCCAACUCUUUCAUGCUAGACCCGCUAUCUUUUCCCACGAUGUAAGAUUCCAAAAUUCGAAGCUUCGUGAGUUUCCCCAUUUUUGGUGGCAUCUCUUUCAAAUUUGUCCCUUCAAUAUCAAGAUGUUGUAAGUCGACCAAGUUGGAAAGGUUGGAUGGCAACUCCAUGAGAUGUCGGCACUCUUUAACAAUAAGCUUUGCAAAUAGUACAAGGUGCACACACUUUCAGGUAACCUUUCAAUGGCGGUGCAAGAAAGGUCCAAGUGCCGCAAAUGUUUUCAAGUUGCCAAUGGAAUUGAGCAACUGAGAAGAAAUAUCUUUUAGAUGAAUAAAGAUAGCAUUCGCAAGCGCUUAAGAUUUGGCAAGAUGUCAUUCAGUGCCUCAUAUCACUUCCCUUAAAAACAUAGUGGAAACAAGGCGCGCAAAUGUUGGACUCCAUGAAUGCUACGAAAUAUCCGAAGUCCUCGUCAUAUGCUCCUGAAGUGAUUGAUAAAUAACGAGUCCUUUCUGGAAGCGAGCAUGAAUGUUCACCCUCCAACCCAGAGCCCGAUUCAUUAAUACCAAGCUUAAAGCAAAAUUCUCCUGACACGUAUUCAGCUAAAUCACUUAUGAUGUCAUGCAUGCUGAAAUCUGAUUGAACAUGAAGUGAUUGCUGGAAAAGUGACCUGGAGACAAGAUCAUCAAAGUAUUUUUCACCUAUAUCUUCCAUCUCCUCAACUCCUCUGGACUGGCCUAAAAAACCAUGUGCCAUCCAUUCAGUGAUUAAUCCAUUUUUCUUGAAUACAUAACUCUUGGGAAAUAUUGCACAAUAAACAAAACAACGUUUCAGGUGUGAAGGGAGAUAAUAAUAGCUCAAUGUUAGAGCUGGAGGGAUGUUUUCAUUCGACAAUCCCCACAAACUGCUAUUGGAUAUCUUCUCCCAUUGCCUGACAUCUCCUACGGAGUGCAAAAGACCCCCAAGAGUUUUCGCUGCCAGCGGUAAACCUUUGCACUUUCUCGCUAUUUCUCUGCCAAAUGCUUCCAAGUGUGAGACUGCUCCAGAAUUUACACCACUAAAUGCAUCCCUUGCAAACAAUUUCCAGCAAUCUUCAUCGCUUAUUACAUCCAAGCGGUGAGAGGGGAUGACUGUUUGCGUGACUUUUGCUACAUCUUCAUUCCGUGUUGUCACGACAAUCUUACUUCCGUGCUCCACAUACAGCAAAGGUAGCAGUAGUUUAUCCCAUUCAUUGUACUUAAUGUUCCACGCGUCAUCUAGAACAAGUAGAAGUUUCUUCCCUUUCACUGCCUCCAUUAGAGAUUCAUCUGGUUCUUUGGUGCGGCAAGUACUUGCGUUGAUCUUAUCAAGAAUAUCCUUAAUAAUCCUGGCAACAUCAAAUUGUUGGAAGCCCAGACCCAGGCUUUGAGCUCGAAGCACUCAUCUAUCGUUGUAGAUAAGCUGAGCAAGAGUGGUUUUACCAAUCCCGCCCAUGCCCACAAUGGAACGCACAACUAAAUUUGAGCCAUCUGUGUUGUGUUGUGUCAACAAGUGCUCCAUUAUGGCUUCCUUAUCAGCGUCCCUUCCAUAUACAUAGAGAUUCAUUAACCAGUGGAGUUGUUUUCUCUGACAAUGGUCUCCAUCCACCAGUACCUUCUAUGUGGCGCAGAUCACCCUUGUGUUUAAGUAAACGUUCAAGCUUCUCAAGGAUCUUUUGUAACUCUGCUUCCAUCUCUUUCAUCCUUCUAUUAGCUGGAUUUAGAAAUGGAAACCGAUCCUUACCUGCAAUGGUGGACUAAAUAUGUGAGAUAGAAUUCAGGAAAACAUUAUAAUUUAUAAUAUCAAAACAUAAACAUUAAGAUUUUUACAUCUAGUGAAUUAAUAAGUUAAUACCAUUAAAUUGUUGAUGCUAUAAACAUUAAGAUUUUUACAUCUAGUGAAUUAAUAAGUUAAUGCCAUUAAAUUGUUGAUGCUAGCUUAACGUAAUUAAGCAGUGAAAGUCAAGUUUUAAAAAGAUAUUGAUUCAAUGCCAUAAGUGAUUUUCAUAGCCCUUACUAUAUAAUAUUAUUUAUAUAUAUAUAAUGAAAUUAAUUUUUUUUCUAAAAUAAAAAUGGAAAAAUAAUUGUUUAGCAAUUAAAAAGUAAAGUAUUUAUUUUUCAUAUUUAAAAUAAAGAUAUGAGCCUUUCAUGUAUAAAACAUCAUUCCAAUUUCUAAUUGUGCUAACAAAAAAUCAAUGCAUAAUUCUUGGUGAUUAUUAUAUAUAAUUACUAAGAAAUUUAAUAUUUAUAAUAAUGGGUUUUGAAUCUCGUAAGUCCUAACUAUUCAUCACUAAAAAUAUUGAAAGACAAUUCAAUUUUAUAUCCCUUAUAUUUUCAUAAAAAAGUAAGAGUCAUUCAUGUUCUCAUAAAAAUAUAUAUAAUUUAAUUGACAAAAUUUAUAUAAAUAAUUCAGAUUUUAAAAAUAUAGCAUUUUGGAUUUUAAAAAAAACAAACAAACAAAUAGAGGGAUCAAUACAAACAUUUUAUGAGGAAGCAAGGUCUCUAGGUGCAAGAACUUAUGCUUACCCAAUUGCUGUCAGGUCGAGGGGCAUCAAUGUCCUUGGAUCGUAGAUAUUCAUAAUCAAUCUCCUCCGAUAUGUCCUCAGCUUCAUAGACAGCGUGUUUAACAUCAUUAAGCCACUUCUUCACAGCACGAUUUGUAAUCUGCUUCUCCUCCGCAUCGUCGAGUAGUCCGUUGACAGUAUUCAGUGUUUCAUUCAGCUUUUCCAGAAGACCAUCAUCGAGUUUGUGGCUUUGGAAGAAGCCCAGAACCUCACGAGAGGCCAACCUGUCGACCAGAACCUCAAUGAGAGCAGAGAGAAUUGAUCCUCCGAUCAACUCCAGAGACAUGGUGGAUUUUUGCAGAAGGGUGAGGGUGGGAAUAUGUGAGAGAAAAGGAGUUGUGGAAAGCAGGAGCCUUGGUGGAUUUUUGCUAAAGGGUGAGAGAGUGAUUAUGUGAGAGAGAAUGAUAAGCCAAAUAGAAAACCCGAGGAAGCCGGCUUCGAGUGUGUUUGUCCUUGACGCAGUGUAUGCGUUUUCUCUCAAUGUAUAGAAAUGAUGGGCCCACUGCCCAAGGUUGGAACUUGGAUAUGAAAAAGAUUUUUUUUUUUCUGCUUUUUACAUGCUGGAUCACAGGUUAAACCUUCUUGAUCUGCUAAAAAAAACAUUCAAAAAUUAUCUUUGCAUCCUUUUUCUUUCUCCUAUCAUUCAUUACAAUUGCUUGUCUUUCUUUGAACAAUACAAUUGCCCAGAAAAUUCUGGUUUUGCUAUCAACAUGAUACAAUAGCAAUGAACAAGUCUAUUUCAUUAAAAAUUCAGAUUUGUAAUUUACUCGUAAACUAGUCGACUUAUCAGGUCAACCUGAAACUUGAAUGACUCGGUAAAAUACUAGUAAAGACCAUUUUCUUCAAAUGUAUUUUUUUCUCCUAUCUAGGAACCUUUUAUAUAUUUUAUUUUUUUUAUUUAGUUACUCAUUUCAAAAUUCACUAUAUAAAUAUUAGAAGAAUAUUUUAUUUUUUUAAUGUGAUAUUUUGAAGCCCUUUAAUAUAUAUACUUUAUGUUCUUCAAAAAAAAAUUAUGUUUUUUCAAAUGUAGAAUAAAAAACCUUUUUUGUUUAAAUACUUCAACUUAAAAAAAUAAGAUAGUAUAUUUUCAAAGUAGAAUAAAAAAUCUUUUGAAAUAAUCUUUUAAACUUAAUUGCUUACAACAUGUAUAGCCUAUAUCCAUAUAGAUUAUUUUUUAUUUUUUUAUAUAAAAUAUUAAAACCUCAUAUUUUUUUAAUUUUUCCUGAUUGACCCGAGUCAACCCAUGUAAACUAGGACCUAGCCCCUUAGUCGGGUUAAUCCUUAGGCUGAGUUUGAUAACCAUGAUUGUCAUGAGAAUACAACUUUAAAAAUGCAAUUAAAAAGAAAUAAAGUGAUGUGAACAGUUAAAAAAUCAAAUAAAUAGAUAAAACCUUUUCUUUUUUAUUUUAUUAAGGGCCUCUUUUAAUUAUUUUUUUUAUUAUGUGUUUAGAGAUAAAUUUAUGGACACUAAAAUCAACAUUUUUUAUUCUUGAAAUACAACUCACCAAAAUACCUUUUUAUAUAUAUCUAACGACUUUCUAUUUAUACUCAUGACAUCAAAAAAUUGAAAUACGAGGAGAAUGAAGUUUUAGAAUUAAAUAUAAAUAGCUAAAACUACAAGAAUAAAAGAAAAAACUUUAGGAACCCAAAUGAACUUUUAUGAGAAUUUCAAGGAUCAAAACUCAAUAUUCAGAUAGUAAAACGAGUGGGAAAUGAAGUUUAAAACUAAAAUGUAAACACAUAAAACUACUAGGAUUAAAAAUAUUUUUUUAAAAAACUUCAUUUGGUAUUACUCUUAGAACGUAAUUGGUACAAGGCUUAAAAAUAUGGGUGAAAUUAUCACAUAAAUAAUAAUUAUUAUUAUAAGAGCAAAUUUAAAAAGUGUAAAUGUUGGUUUUUAAAAAUGACUGAUGUAUUUGAACAGUUAAAUACUUGUGAAAAAAAGAGAGAAUAAUUUAAUAAUUAACUUCAACUUUUCCAUUAAUUAAUUAAGAUCUAAAAAAUCCAAAAAUUAUAAGUUUCUAAUAUAAAGUUAAAAAAUUUACAUAUAUAUAAAAAAGAUAUUUCAUAAAAUUCUAUUUUUUUUUAAUAAUUCACAGAAACUCAAUGCAAGACUUCAUAUGUUGAAUCUUCUCAUUAUCAACACUUUCAAAUAUAUCUUUUUUGAUAUAAGUAACCAAACAAUCAUUAAAUAAAUUAUCCCCAACUCGAUUGUGUAAUCGACUUUUGACUAAUUUCAACGUUGAAAAUAUUCUCUUUACUGAUGCAAUAACCACGCGUAAAAUUAAUGCUAAAUUUAUCACGUAAUAUAUGUUAUUUAUUAAAUUUAUUACUUAUAUAUUAAAAUGUAUGGGAUUUUCACCGUGUAUUUGUUAUUAUACAAUUUUUUUUUUCAGUUUAUCCAUGACAACUAGAGUGCCGAGCUCAAAAUGCUAGGGUCUGACAUAGUACCCGACCUAAUUACCAAACCCUAGAUUUGGUAACUAUGCAAGACCCAAGCAUCCCUUGCAAACAACUCCCAGCAAUAUUCAUAGCUUAUUGCAUUCAAGCGGUGAAAGGGGAUGACAGUUUGCGUGACUUUUGCUACAUCUUCUUCCCGUGUUGUCACGACAAUCUUACUUCCGUGCUCCACAUACCGCAAAGGUAGCAGUAGUUUAUCCCAUUCAUUGUACUUGAUGUUCCACGCGUCAUCUAGAACAGGUAGAAGUUUUUUCCCUUUCACUGCCUCCAUUAGAGAUUCAUCUGGUUCUUUGGUGCGGCAUGUACUUGCGUUGAUCUUAUCAAGAAUAUCCUGAAUAAUCCUGGCAACAUCAAAAUAGAUAACAACUACUGUAUAAAUAAUAAUUUUUAAAAUUUUUAAUUGAAAUCUAUUUUUUAAUCUAAUUAUUGGACACAUAUGAACAUUUUGACUCAUAAUUAAUUUUUUUAAAAAAAAUUCAUAAAAUUAUAAUUUUUAUGUGAAAUAAUCCACUGUUUAAUACAAUAAACUUCAAUUAAAUGACCAAUUAAGCUAGAUGAUUGAACUUUCAAUUAAUUUGUUAACUUGCGCUAACAUUUACCAAUGUUACUGUUUGAAAAUGUAAAAGUAAGCUAUUUCACUAAAAAAAAAUUUCGGUCUAGCAUCACUAAGCCACCUCUGCACAGCAGGCUUGGUAAUCUGUUUCUCCUCCGCGUCGUCGAGAAGUCCGUUGAGAGUAUUCAGUGUUUCUUUCAACUUUCCGAGAAGACCAUCAUUGAGCUUGUGGCUUUCGUCUCAUUUGCCCUGAAACCAAGCAUACGUUGUGGAAUUGAAAAGUAAGCAAGAGUUGCAAUAAAUCUCGUAAGUUAUGGAUUGAUUUGGUUCUACGAGGAUUAAUAUCACAACCAGCUUUGAAAAGCGAUAUGUUUUUGAUUUUUUGUUGUUUUUUUUAAAUGUUUUUUAAUUAAAAAUAUAUUAAAAUAAUAUUUUUUAUUUAUUAAUUAAAAAUAAAUUAUUUAAAAUAAAGAAAACAAUUAAAUUUUUUUUAAAAAAAAAAUUUAAAAUGUAAAAAUAAACAGCCUUGAAGAAGGUUUUUGAGAGUAUAGUAAUACUUGCUUUUAAAAAAAAAAAUUUGCUUAUGUGUGAGAGCUUCCCCAGCUCUUUCAUGCUAGACCCGCUCUCUUUUCCCACAAUGUAAUAUUCCAAAUAUCGAAGCUUUGUGAGUUUCGUUAUUUUUGGUGGCAUCUCUUCCAAAUUUGUCCCUUCAAUAUCAAGAUAUUGUAGGUUGACCAAGUUGGAAAUGUUGGAUGGCAACUCCAUGAGAUGUCGGCACUCUCUUAACAAUAGAGUUUGCAAAUAGUACAAGGUGCUCACACUUUCAGGUAACCUUUCAGUGGCGGUACAAGAAAGGUCCAAGUGCCGCAAAUGUUUUAAGUUGCCAAUGGAAUUGAGCAACUGAGAAGAAA